RNAcentral lists this ribosomal RNA (253 nucleotides) under uncultured bacterium. RNAcentral describes it as "partial 16S ribosomal RNA". It matches the Rfam family "Bacterial small subunit ribosomal RNA", at positions 524 to 776 of the family's 1533-position model. The record is from RNAcentral.
UACGAACUGUGCAAACGUUAUUCGGAAUCACUGGGCUUACAGGGUGCGUAGGCGGCCAGACAAGUAGGGUGUGAAAGCCCCCGGCUUAACCGGGGAAUGGCGCCCUAAACUGUAUGGCUGGAGUGAGAUAGGGGUGUGCGGAACUUCCGGUGGAGCGGUGAAAUGUGUUGAUAUCGGAAGGAACGCCGGUGGCGAAAGCGGCACACUGGAUCUCAACUGACGCUGAGGCACGAAGGCCAGGGGAGCAAACGGG